Molecule: ribosomal RNA, 506 nt
Filed under: uncultured bacterium
Lineage: Bacteria
Description: partial 16S ribosomal RNA
Rfam family: Bacterial small subunit ribosomal RNA
Source: RNAcentral
GAUGAACGCUAGCUACAGGCUUAACACAUGCAAGUCGAGGGGUAACGAGAGGAAAGCUUGCUUUCCUUGUCGACGACCGGCGCACGGGUGAGUAACGCGUAUCCAACCUGCCCCCAACUAGGGAAUAACCUUGCGAAAGUAAGACUAAUACCCUAUAAUUUCCUCAGAUGACAUCUGACGAGGAAUAAAGAUUUAUCGGUUGUGGAUGGGGAUGCGUCGGAUUAGCUUGUUGGCGGGGUAACGGCGCACCAAGGCAACGAUCAGUAGGGGUUCUAAGAGGAAGGUCCCCCACAUUGGAACUGAGACACGGUCCAAACGCCUACGGGAGGCAGCAGUGAGGAAUAUUGGUCAAUGGGCGGAAGCCUGAACCAGCCAAGUAGCGUGCAGGAUGACGGCCCUAUGGGUUGUAAACUGCUUUUAUACAGGAAUAAAGUUAGCCACGUGUGGUUAUUUGUAGGUACUGUAUGAAUAAGGACCGGCUAAUUCCGUGCCAGCCGCCGCCGUAA